UGGGGAAUAUUGCGCAAUGGGCGAAAGCCUGACGCAGCCACGCCGCGUGAGCGAUGAAGGCCUUCGGGUCGUAAAGCUCUGUGGGGAGAGACGAAGAAAGCCUGUGAAGAGCAGGCCUUGACGGUAUCUCCUUAGCAAGCACCGGCUAACUCCGUGCCAGCAGCCGCGGUAAUACGGAGGGUGCAAACGUUGCUCGGAAUCAUUGGGCGUAAAGCGCACGUAGGCGGCGAAGCAAGUUGGGUGUGAAAGCCCUGGGCUCAACCCAGGAAGUGCAUUCAAAACUGCUUCGCUUGAAUCUCGGAGGGGGUCAGAGAAUUCCCGGUGUAGAGGUGAAAUUCGUAGAUAUCGGGAGGAAUACCAGUGGCGAAGGCGCUGACCUGGACGAAGAUUGACGCUGAGGUGCGAAAGCGCGGGGAGCAAACAGGAUUAGAUACCCUGGUAGUCCGCGCUGUAAACGAUGAGUGCUAGACGGUGGAGGUAUUCG
RNAcentral lists this ribosomal RNA (484 nucleotides) under uncultured Pseudomonadota bacterium. RNAcentral describes it as "bacterial SSU rRNA". It matches the Rfam family "Bacterial small subunit ribosomal RNA", at positions 355 to 835 of the family's 1533-position model. The record is from RNAcentral. Lineage: Bacteria; Pseudomonadati; Pseudomonadota.